RNAcentral lists this ribosomal RNA (39 nucleotides) under Syzygiella tonduzana. Its description in RNAcentral is "partial 26S ribosomal RNA". Lineage: Eukaryota; Viridiplantae; Streptophyta; Jungermanniopsida; Jungermanniales; Adelanthaceae. The record is from RNAcentral.
UGGACCUCAGAUCAGGCAAGAUUACCCGCUGAGUUUUAA